This 72-nucleotide transfer RNA is filed under the name Camelus bactrianus (Bactrian camel). It matches the Rfam family "tRNA". Rfam says of the family: Transfer RNA (tRNA) molecules are approximately 80 nucleotides in length. Lineage: Eukaryota; Metazoa; Chordata; Mammalia; Artiodactyla; Camelidae. RNAcentral also lists the same sequence under 1 other name. The record is from Rfam by way of RNAcentral.
GGGGGUAUAGCUCAGUGGUAGAGCACAUGUUUAGCAUGCAUGAGGUGCUGGGUUCAAUCCCCAGUAUCUCCU